Non-coding RNA from Desmophyllum pertusum, 73 nucleotides. The record is from the annotation of a GenBank genome assembly. NCBI's taxonomy places the organism in Eukaryota, Metazoa, Cnidaria, Anthozoa, Scleractinia, Caryophylliidae.
UCCACCGGUGGCCUAAUGGUUAGGACGUUGGACUCUGGAUUGAGUGGUCUAGGUUCGAGCCCUGACCAGGGAC